AUACCUUUCUCGGCCUUUUGGCUAAGAUCAAGUGUAGUAUCUGUUCUUAUCAGUUUAAUAUCUGAUACGUGGACCAAUGGUCCAGACGAUAUUAAAUUAAUUUUUAAGGGGGAGGGUUCGCUACAGUAGCUUGCUACUGGGAUCCUCGCGGGUCGCCUAAGCGUUGCACUACUGUUCGGGCAGGCGCACCCCAC
RNAcentral lists this small nuclear RNA (194 nucleotides) under Malus domestica (apple). RNAcentral describes it as "sRNA MD16G0136000". It matches the Rfam family "U2 spliceosomal RNA". Rfam says of the family: U2 is a small nuclear RNA (snRNA) component of the spliceosome (involved in pre-mRNA splicing). Complementary binding between U2 snRNA (in an area lying towards the 5' end but 3' to hairpin I) and the branchpoint sequence (BPS) of the intron results the bulging out of an unpaired adenosine, on the BPS, which initiates a nucleophilic attack at the intronic 5' splice site, thus starting the first of two transesterification reactions that mediate splicing. The record is from RNAcentral. Lineage: Eukaryota; Viridiplantae; Streptophyta; Magnoliopsida; Rosales; Rosaceae.